UGCGUGAAGUCGGAAUCGCUAGUAAUCGCGGAUCAGCAUGCCGCGGUGAAUACGUUCCCGGGCCUUGUACACACCGCCCGUCACACCAUGAGAGUCGGGAACACCCGAAGUCCGUAGCCUAACAGCAAUGAGGGCGCGGCCGAAGGUGGGUUCGAUAAUUGGGGUGAAGUCGUAACAAGGUAAC
This 184-nucleotide ribosomal RNA is filed under the name uncultured bacterium. RNAcentral's name for it is "partial 16S ribosomal RNA". It matches the Rfam family "Bacterial small subunit ribosomal RNA", at positions 1317 to 1500 of the family's 1533-position model. The record is from RNAcentral.